GUGGGGAAUAUUGGACAAUGGGGGGAACCCUGAUCCAGCCAUGCCGCGUGUGUGAAGAAGGCCUUUUGGUUGUAAAGCACUUUAAGCGAGGAGGAGGCUACCGAGAUUAAUACUCUUGGAUAGUGGACGUUACUCGCAGAAUAAGCACCGACUAACUCUGUGCCAGCAGCCGCGGUAAUACAGAGGGUGCAAGCGUUAAUCGGAUUUACUGGGCGUAAAGCGCGCGUAGGUGGCCAAUUAAGUCAAAUGUGAAAUCCCCGGGCUUAACUUGGGAAUUGCAUUCGAUACUGGUUGGCUAGAGUAUGGGAGAGGAUGGUAGAAUUCCAGGUGUAGCGGUGAAAUGCGUAGAGAUCUGGAGGAAUACCGAUGGCGAAGGCAGCCAUCUGGCCUAAUACUGACACUGAGGUGCGAAAGCAUGGGGAGCAAACAGGAUUAGAUACCCUUGUAGUCC
Molecule: ribosomal RNA, 451 nt
Filed under: uncultured bacterium
Lineage: Bacteria
Description: partial 16S ribosomal RNA
Rfam family: Bacterial small subunit ribosomal RNA
Source: RNAcentral